UUGAGCCGGAUGAGAGGAAACCUUCACGUCCGAUUUUGAAGGGGGGAAAUCCUAUAGGAACCUAUCCCAAU
Non-coding RNA from Thalictrum thalictroides, 71 nucleotides. The record is from the annotation of a GenBank genome assembly. Lineage: Eukaryota; Viridiplantae; Streptophyta; Magnoliopsida; Ranunculales; Ranunculaceae.